AGCGGAGGAAAAGAAACCAACAGGGAUGCCCUAGUACGGCGAGUGAACAGGCAAGAGCUCAGAUUUGAAAGGCACUUUUGUGCCGUUGUAUUCUGAAGUUAGGGUCCUGAGAAACGAUGCUUAAGUCUUCUGGAAAGGAGCGCCAUGGAGGGUGAUAGCCCCGUCUAGCAUUGACCUCAUAUAGGAUCUUAACAUGGAGUCGAGUUGUUUGGGAAUGCAGCUCAAAUGGGUGGUAUGCUCCAUCUAAAGCUAAAUAUCUGCGAGAGACCGAUAGUAAACAAGUACUGUGAGGGAAAGAUGAAAAGAACUUUGAAAAGAGAGUGAAAAAGUACGUGAAAUUGUUGAAAUGGAAGGGUAGGCCGCUAACCAUGUAGAGCCGUGUUUGGGGGGAAGAUAAAUGCUGUAGAAUGUAGCUCCUCGGAGUAUUAUAGAUGCAGUUCAUAUUCCCACCCGAGCGCGAGGAUCUCAGGUUCUACUAAAUGGUGGUCUACCACCCGUCUUAAC
Molecule: ribosomal RNA, 504 nt
Filed under: Starmerella bacillaris
Lineage: Eukaryota; Fungi; Ascomycota; Dipodascomycetes; Dipodascales; Trichomonascaceae
Description: eukaryotic LSU rRNA
Rfam family: Eukaryotic large subunit ribosomal RNA
Source: RNAcentral